GGGGAAUAUUGGGCAAUGGACGCAAGUCUGACCCAGCAACGCCGCGUGAAGGAAGAAGGCUUUCGGGUUGUAAACUUCUUUUAAGGGGGAAGAGUAGAAGACGGUACCUGACGAAUAAGCCACGGCUAACUACGUGCCAGCAGCCGCGGUAAUACGUAGGUGGCAAGCGUUAUCCGGAUUUACUGGGUGUAAAGGGCGAGUAGGCGGGAUCAUAAGUCAGAUGUGAAAUCUGGGGGCUCAACCCCCAAACUGCAUUUGAAACUAUGAUUCUUGAGUGAUGGAGAGGCAGGCGGAAUUCCCGGUGUAGCGGUGGAAUGCGUAGAGAUCGGGAGGAACACCAGUGGCGAAGGCGGCCUGCUGGACAUUAACUGACGCUGAGGAGCGAAAGCGUGGGGAGCAAACA
This 403-nucleotide ribosomal RNA is filed under the name uncultured Oscillospiraceae bacterium. Its description in RNAcentral is "bacterial SSU rRNA". It matches the Rfam family "Bacterial small subunit ribosomal RNA", at positions 356 to 774 of the family's 1533-position model. The record is from RNAcentral. Lineage: Bacteria; Bacillati; Bacillota; Clostridia; Eubacteriales; Oscillospiraceae.